GAAAUGGCCGUAAUUUUUUUUUCAUAACUUGUGCAUAUUCUUCUUGCCAAAUGGUUCAAGUUUGGUAUAAAAGGCUGAGAUUAACGGGGAUUUACCAUCAAAUCAUCGGCAACUACUUUACUACCAAUACAAAUCUCUGAAAACUAGCAAGUUUUUCCAAAAACUUUGACAAAAAUGACUUCCCAAGUUGGACGAAACCAAACUUCGGUUGCCCGAAAGGCUGCAGCCCUUGCAAUCUUUGCCUUGGCGUGGUUGGCUCAGAUGUCUCAGACUGAGGCUGGACGCAAGGGAUGGGGUUGGGGGUGGGGGUGGGGAAAGUAAUUUUCUCCAGGAGAAAGUAAAGGAAACGGGGCUGAUUCACGGGGCUGAUUGACUGUUGUCUUUACAAUUGGAAAGAAAUUGGAAAUAUAAAAUGUUUUUGUAUAUAUUUUUGUAUAGUGAAAUUUUAAAAUAAAAAUAAUUUGACUCCAAAA
This is a long non-coding RNA of Folsomia candida, 473 nucleotides long. RefSeq lists it as uncharacterized. The record is from RefSeq and is a predicted model, not a curated record. Lineage: Eukaryota; Metazoa; Arthropoda; Collembola; Entomobryomorpha; Isotomidae. The transcript has 2 exons.